RNAcentral lists this transfer RNA (69 nucleotides) under Paraulopus oblongus. RNAcentral's name for it is "tRNA-Arg". It matches the Rfam family "tRNA". Rfam says of the family: Transfer RNA (tRNA) molecules are approximately 80 nucleotides in length. Their secondary structure includes four short double-helical elements and three loops (D, anti-codon, and T loops). Further hydrogen bonds mediate the characteristic L-shaped molecular structure. tRNAs have two regions of fundamental functional importance: the anti-codon, which is responsible for specific mRNA codon recognition, and the 3' end, to which the tRNAs corresponding amino acid is attached (by aminoacyl-tRNA synthetases). tRNAs cope with the degeneracy of the genetic code in two manners: having more than one tRNA (with a specific anti-codon) for a particular amino acid; and 'wobble' base-pairing, i.e. permitting non-standard base-pairing at the 3rd anti-codon position. Lineage: Eukaryota; Metazoa; Chordata; Actinopteri; Aulopiformes; Paraulopidae. The record is from RNAcentral.
UAGGUAAUUAGUCUAAAAAAGACCUUUGAUUUCGGCUCAAAAAACCCUGGUGAAAACCCAGGAUCACCC